This 406-nucleotide ribosomal RNA is filed under the name uncultured bacterium. RNAcentral describes it as "partial 16S ribosomal RNA". It matches the Rfam family "Bacterial small subunit ribosomal RNA", at positions 29 to 526 of the family's 1533-position model. The record is from RNAcentral.
AUUGAACGCUGGCGGCAGGCCUAACACAUGCAAGUCGAGCGAGCGGCGGACGGGUGAGGUAUGUCUGGGAAACUGCCUGCUGGAGGGGGAGAACUACUGGAAACGGUAGCUAAUACCGCAUACCAUCAGAUGUGCCCAGAUGGGAUUAGCUAGUAGGUGGGGUAAUGGCCCACCUAGGCGACGAUCCCUAGCUGGUCUGAGAGGAUGACCAGCCACACGGGAACUGAGCCACGGUCCAGACUCCUAAGGGAGGCAGCAGUGGGGAAUAUUGCACAAGGGGCGCAAGCCUGAUGCAGCCAUGCCGCGUGUGUGAAGAAGGCGUUCGGGUUGUAAAGCACUUUCAGCGGGGAGGCGUUACCCGCAGAAGAAGCACCGGCUAACUCCGUGCCAGCAGCCGCGGUAAUAC